RNAcentral lists this non-coding RNA (49 nucleotides) under Nitratireductor basaltis. RNAcentral's name for it is "Guanidine-II sequence". It matches the Rfam family "Guanidine-II riboswitch aptamer (mini-ykkC)". From Rfam's summary of the family: Simpler in structure and has fewer highly conserved nucleotide positions than the ykkC-yxkD leader. The record is from Rfam by way of RNAcentral. Lineage: Bacteria; Pseudomonadati; Pseudomonadota; Alphaproteobacteria; Hyphomicrobiales; Phyllobacteriaceae.
GCGUGAGGACGACCUCCCCCGUCAGGGUUCAGCAGUCGGGACGGCCCGG